UGUGCCAGCAACCUGUGCCAGUGCCUCACCACACUCACAGAACAUAAUUUCUUCCUAAUACCUAAAAUAAACCCACCCUCUUUUAGUUUAAAACCUUCCCCCCUUGCCCUAUCACUACAUAUCCUUGUAAAAAAUUCCUCUCCAACUUUCUUGUAGCUUUCUUUUCCUAUGGGACCAGCCAUCAGUUCUCUUCCUAGUGCUUUUUUCCACACCACCACAGCAUUUCACCUAACAUCCUCCUCACUGGUAACUGCUCCCCAUCCCAUCCCCCUGGAGUUGGGUUCACAGCCCCAGGGGCCAUCCCGGCAGGGUUUUGUUACACCUAGCCCCAAAGGGUGAGGGUAACCCAGGUUCUUGUUAAUAGAUCCCUUGGGGUGGAUUAGAGUGAAAUCAUUAGAUGGGAUGAUCAGUGUUUGUAAAGAGAUUAUAUAUAUAUAAAAUGUGUAAGGGAAAAGAAAGAAAUAGAAAAAAAAACCCGCAAGAGUAGAAACAUACCACCACCCAUGGAUCGCAUGGCAAGACUUGAUUGCUGCAAUUUAGUGUCCCUGGGUCAGAGUGAUGAUCACAGAUUUGAUCUGUUGGGGGUGGGGGAAGAAACCCAUAAAACACAAGGUCCGAUAGGUUCAAAGACACUCAGGCUCAGUGGGGACACCCAGGUACCUCCUCUGGUGGAGAGCUUUCAGCCCCCGGGUGGAAGGGCUCAGAAAUGAGUCUGGGGGCACUCUGGGGACCUUUGAUGGCUUGUGACACCUUCUAAGACGUGAGAGCUGCCUCUCACACCAGCGCAGUUGAGCCAGGAAUGCCCCAUCAGGAGGGAUGAAAACCCUCAGGACCUUUCCCGGGAGGAGGAGGGGGGGGAGUUUUACAGCUGAGUGAGUUGUGUAAGGGAGAGCAAUCGGAGUGAUGAAAAGCAGCAUCCCACCUCACAGCAUCUGCCUUUUAUCGGCCUCAAAGACCCUUUGUAGCCUCCGGCGGUGAUUGUUCAGCCCCUCUGGCUUAUGCAGAGCAGAGGUUUGCCAUUACACACCCAAAAACUCGCCUCCUCCCCCCUCGGGCGGGGUGCAAAGCACCCUGCCGCCUCCACAAAUGGGCCAUUGUUUUGAGUCAUUAACCAUUAACAUUUCAGUCUGUCGCAGGGCUGGGUGAUGGCAGGACAUGACGGUAUUGCCUUCCCACCAGACAUGAGUGGUAACCUUCCCCCGUGGACACUCUUGACGCUCCAUGUCACACCUGAAAGGCAUCUUCUUCAUAACGACGCUGAGUGGCUUAUCCUUUUUUUGUUGUUGUUUUGUUUGGUUUGGUUUUUUUGUGCUCCCCGGACUCACCUAUUGCAUGAAGGGAAGGAUUGACAAGUCCCACACCAAGCAGCCAGCGCUCACUCUUCUCCCUGCUUCACCCUGAGUGGUUGGGGGCAGAGCUGACACAAAGGCUUUUGCCAGUUCCAGGGGACAUUUCCCCAUGUAGCCCCAUCCACAUCCCUGCUGUGCCUCUCCAAGGGCACCCAAAAUCCAGUGCCGGUCAUAGGCCCACAUGCAGAGGUGAGCUCAGUGCUCUGGCCUUGCCAGAGGUAGAAAGGAUCUCUCCACGUGCCCUCUUUGCCUUGACCCAUUUCACUCCAUUUUUCUGCUUUACUUCCUGUGACAAAUUUGCUGUGCCGGCUCUGCGGAAAGCAGCUGGAAGAGUUUCAUGCCAGCACUGUUUUUCUCCUUUAUACCGCUCAGCAGGCUUGGAUCCAUUCAAAUCUCCCUUUCUUUUCUUUAUUUUUUUUUUUUCAUCUUUUCAGUGCAGCUUCCUACAAUUUCAGCUUUUUGGCUGACUCGAGGCUUGAAAUCUGUCUUUUCUCUUCCCUGUGCUUCCUCCUGCAGUAACCCUUCAUGGCCUUGCUUUCGACAGGCGCGUGGAGGUCUGGCAUGAAUGCCAGAAUGGAAAACUGCUGGCACCCAACAGAGCCACAUAGAAGGAAUCUCACAGUGAAAAGUUUUCAGGGCACACUGCAAGCUGUUCUGGCUCCAUCCUGCAGACAGGUAAGGCAGGCAGAUGUCCAGCAUCUUAGCACACAGGAGGACUGCAUGCUCAGGCAGACCCUCAGGAACAGUCAGGAAGCAGAGCCAUUCCAUGUCACAGCUGCCCCUCCUGACAGCACAGCUGUGCCUCGGGCUUGGACACCCCCAGUUUUGAUGGCACAAAUGCAAACGCAUUUCUGGCCAUCUCAUGUCUUCUGAGGACUUGCCACUCUCUGAUGCAGGAAAGCCAGCAGUCAGCUGCUCUUCCAUUUGGCAGACACCUGUGCAGCUGGAAGGACACCAGAGGUAGGACACCAGAGUGAUGUCCCACCAGCAGCCAGCCAUGCUGCUGGCAGCUGCAAGCUGAGCUGUUCCCUAUGGUUGGGCUAGAUGACCUUUUCCGACUUAAAUGAUCCUACCAUCAGCACUGAUGUUCACAUUACUGGGUAACAGUAAAAGCAGGGCAGGAUGAGUUAUCAGAGGGGAAUGGGAACCCUCACCGGGCCUCUACCAAACUCCCUAACCAAAAACCUGCAACACAAAAGGACAUUUUUGUUUUAUACUGAUUUAAACCCUAUUGGUCAGCCAGCCUGGAGCUGGUCUGAUUUCACUCUGCUCUUGCCGGGAAGCAUUUGAGUGAUGGACUGUGUGUGUUUGUUUCUGGAUGCUGCUCACUGUGUGCACACUAUCAUAUGAUUCUGCUUGAUGCUGGAGGAAUAACAAUAAUAAUAAUAAUAAUAAUAAUAAUAAUAAUAAUAAUAAUAAUAAUAAUAGUGAUUAUUGUUAUAUGCUUACACGCAUGUUGUGGUGCUGGCACCCAGUUCCCAAAUAGCUGGAGUCAGACAUGGAGCUCAGCACACUGUCUCCUGGAACAGAUCCCCAAGUACCACAGAUAACUCUCUCGAGUUUAUGCUCCAGAUUGGGCAGCUCUUUGGGGUUUUAAUUUUGUUUAAGAAACAUUUUUGCCAAGAAUUUGCUCAGGAAUAUUCGCUGGCCUGUAAUUCUUCUUGGACCUUAAACAAGCCAGUGGCAACAAGGCAGGACUCAUCCUUGUCACAUGGGUCGACCUCCUCUCUUUUUAAAGAAGUCAGGCAUUUCCAGGCUCACAGCCCUGCCAGCUCCAUGCCCCCAUCCCAGCAGCAGAUGCAGGGCAUACUCAGUGCCUGGCAAACCCAGCCUGGUCAAAAGGAAAUGACAAAGGAAAAUACCCUUACCAAAAACAAGGUCACCUACUCUUAAGAAAUGCUCUUUCCUGCUAUCUAUGGUUUAGGGAUUUUUUUUCAUAUAAUUUCAUGGCAUUUCAUUUGUCCUGCAUAUUAUAUAGGAAAACCUUAUUUUUUUUAUUCUGUUUCAUUUUAAAACUAUUAAAACCAUCUGCCACUUAGUAAACACUAACAUACUUUCUUUUCUAGAUCAAAGUGUCUCCUGCCUAUGUUGUAAUGGAAGUUUGACAUUCUUUUUUACAAGACAGGCAGGAGACACUUUGAUCAGGUGCCAAACUGUUUCACUACAACAAACAGGCAACACUCUGAGCUAGAAAUGAUAAGAUGUUAUUAUUCACCGUGAUGAUUUCAUGACAUGUCAGCCAUGAUGUUAAAAAAAACCUACAGAACACAUAAAUUUAAAAAUAUCACUGUGAAAUUCCAGAUUUUUAAAAAUUAGCAACUUAUGAAUUGAAAGCAUUCCUAUUAUAUUUUUCCUCUACAGAUUUAUGACCAUUUUGUAGCACUUUUGGCUACUUUUUGGAAUUGUUUUAAUUUUGAUCAGUAUCUUCUGUCAAAAACACUUCAUUGAAAAAAUUCUGAUGGAUUCUGAUGGAUUUUUAAAAAGCCUUUUUAUAGACAAAAUAUUAUUGUCCCUGUCAGAGAACAAAGGAAUCACCUGCUAGUUCUUUUGUCAUGCCUAAAUAAAUUAAUUGCUUGAGGAUUAUUUUAUCUAUGUUUUUCAAAUGCACUGCUCCAACCAGCUCCUCCAUACAUAUUUGCCUUUUAUCCUGGCAUGCAGGAUGACUCCCCAGAGAGCCCAUGGCUUUCCAAUGACAUAAAUCCUGCAGCUACACACUGUGGAAAAACAAAAACAAAACAAAACAAAAAAAAAACCUGAAACCAAAAACAAACAAUUUAAAAAAAACAAAAAACACCUCCCAAACGAAACCAUGUACACUGUAAUUUCUGUCUUAAUUUGCAUUGUGAAGAAAAGAUGAGCUCUUCCAUAGUCACCUAUGCCAAGCACAUGGACACCACAGAGAGGCUGUGAGUGUGCAGCCCCUGAAUAUGGGAGCUGCAGGUGGAGCAGCUAAAGUCAAGCAGCCUCUCUUCCUCUCCCUAGAAGCAGUUUUUCUCCUCUUUUGUCAGCAGGAGCUAUUCCAGAUUUCCAUGUGGACAGUCACAGCUGAGGAAGGGUUGAUUAUCUCUGAUAAAGAGCUGGAGGAGGUGUCUGCAACCCAGGGUAGCUGGUAGUACAAGGGAAGCAGCAUGCACAAGGUCUCACCAGUGGGAAAAGAUGGGUACUCUUCAUCUACAAUUUACAAGUUAUUUCACCCCAAAUGAGGUGAGAAACUUCAUGGGCCAAGACAAAAGUGGCAUCAAAAGUUUUAAAAAAUAGCCUGAUUGGGUAUUAGGAAAAAAACCCCAAACAUUGAAAGAGAUUCCCCAGAAGGGCUGUGGAUUUUUUGUCCUUGGAGGUUUCCAAAACUCAGGUGGACACAGUCUUGAGUGAUCUGCCCUCACACUGAAAUUAGCCCUUCUUUGAAUGACAAGUUGGAGCACAUGACCUCCCCAGGUCCCUUAAAGGUUCAGUCACUCCACAUCUCUACUACUAUGUCCCUGCAAUCUUCUGAUGAAUCCCAGGCCAAGAGAUAACAAGUCUCAGGUUUGCCCAAGCAUGAUCUUGUAUCCUUACCCACAGCAGCAAUGGCAUUUGCUGUGCUGCUGGUGCAGGUCAUCAUCUCCCAUUCCAGGCAUGUACCAUCGGAGGGACAGCACCCAACCCUUUCUAGGAGAAAGCCUUUGGCUUCCCAAAUAACUGCAUUUCAAGCAUACAUUUGAACAAGUCUGGGUUUGAAGGACUCUUAUCACACAACCCAAGGUCAGGCAGAGACCCAGGGCAGCACCAGUCUGGGGGCAUUUUGGCACAGCCAGUUGUUUGUCCAACACAGCCACAUGCUGGUGCAGUAUCAACACAUGGAGCAUGUCUGAGCACAGCCCAGGCUGCUGCACACCGAGGUUCUGUGUCAGUGCGUGCAGCACAAACAGGCACCAAGCACAGGUCACCUCAUGUUUGGGUCUGCUUUCAUUCCCUCAUGCUUCAGGUCAGCAGGUGCCACAGCCUGGAAAAUUAUUUUCCAGCAUCAAUGAAACAAAGGCUGUUCAAGAAACAACUAAGCCUUAGAUUAGCCUCUCAUCUUUUAAAAGUGAGUUGUUUGAAACCAAAACCCAUAGGAUUGUGUACAUUUAUCAUUUCAACCCAGCAGUAAGUAUUUUAAUGUGCAAUAAAUCAUUAUUCACAGAAUCACAGGAUAUGCUGAGUUAGAAGGGACCCCCAAGGAUCAUGGAGUCCAACUCUUAGCCCUGCACAGCACCAUCCCUAAGUGUCACAUCCUGUUCCUGAGAGCAUUGUGGAAAUGUUUCUUGAGCUCUGCCAGGCUGGUGCUCUGAUCACUUCCCUGGGGAGCUGUUCCUGUGCCCAAACACCUCUGGGUGAAGAACCUUUUCCUGAUAUCGAACCUGAACCUCCCCGGGCACAGCUUCAGGCCAUUCCCUGGGGUCCUGUCAGUGGUCACAGGAAUGAACUGAUCAGUGCCUGCCCCUCCUUUUCCCCUCCCAAGGAAGCUGUAACUGCAGUGAGAGCUCCCCUCAGUCCCCUCCAGGCUGAGCAGACCAAGGGACCUCAGCUGCUCCUCACAUGGCUUCUCCUCCAGGCUCUUAAAUCCAUGACCUAGGAGGCAAGAGGUUUGGGUUGGGCACUGCAAACCAACCAGAAGCAAUCUGUUAUUCUAGGAUUCCAGUUUUUCAAAUAACUCUCCUGUCCUUUGCCAUGCUCCUGCUGAAGUUCUGAAAGGGUGAUGCGCUGUGGACUGGAGAUGGGACCAUUACUGCCACUGGUUAUUUUUGCUGAAAAUGGCUGUUGCUAUUUUUCAGUCUCGUUGACUUAGCCAGCAGUUUCUGGAAAACAGAAAACUCAGUGCUUUAUCUUGACCCUUGACAACCUAAGCUUUAGGAAACCUGCUCUUGGAGAGUUCUGGAUCCACAGACCUGCCCACAUUGUUGGGGCCACUGAGAAAGCACUGCUGGCCAUGCCCCUGGGCACUGAAGGACCUCAGCCCUGGUGCCUGGGCACAGUCUGAGCUCCAGGAAAGCAAUCUUCUACAAAGCAGUCAGUGCCAAACACUGCCCAGGUUGUAGAGCUAUAAUAAAAUCACUCCAGAAUAUUUUGGGGUGAGUGAAUGAACACCACUGCCUCUGAACUAAAUGCUCCUUUUAAGAGUCUCAGUAGAGUUGUAGCAUUCUAUAACCCAAAUCUGAACACUGUUUCUCCUCACCCAUCUGCACAGCUGAGAGUGACCCCUUGCCUUCCCUGUUUCUGUAAACAAGGCUGCAACCUUUAUUCCUGCCUUGAGGAACAGAUUGAAUUACUUUUGAUGAUCCAGAACAAUGUCAUCCUUUAUUCCCUCUUCAAAAGCAAUUAGUAUUUCAGCUUGAUUAUUUGCAGAUAAUAUGAGUCACCAGAUAAAACACACUGAAUACAAAAUGCUCCUUGGGAGGGAAAGAGAGAAAUAGUAUUUAAGGUUAAAAAUCCAGCAUAUGCUUAAAUAUCACGAAACUGUCACACAUCAAGAAAAAAAAUUCAGUCCCACUUUGUGAAACAGAAAGAUUGAUCCUGUGUUUGUUUAACCCUAAACCCUUAAUUAAUUUGUUACAGGAUCAGGGCACCAUGACACCAAAGACAGAUUGUGUCACUGUCACAGCACACGAACAAGUUUGGUGUAACACAAUUUCAGAGUUGUCAAACUAUCAAAAACUUCAGGCCAAAUAUGUCAUUUGAUCUGAAAAAACAAUUUUGGACUUUUUUCCCCCCUCUUUUUUCUGAUUUCUAGCUUGGUGUAUUGCAAUGCGUUGAUAUUUUCAGCUCUUUUACCCAGAAACCCAAGGCUAGAAGCUGACUCAUUCUUAAUAGAAGGUACAAGUCUCACAGGAGCAGCAUUAUUUCAGGAACUCACACUUUAAUGGGAACAUCAAAUCUAUCUGGCAUUAUGAUAAGGUCAUCAGAAAUUAGCAAUACUGAAGGUUUAUCCUGGGUUUGCUUCUAAUACAGAUGAUAGCUGAUACAUCCUUUCUCUGUACUGAUGUUGUGAAAUAGUUUCAUUAGUGUAUAUAUAGAAAUAGAAUUUUGUGAGACGUUAGACCAAAACUAAACGUUUCUUUUCUCUUUUUCUGAAAAGAAAAUUAAUGUCUGAGAGUUUUCAUAUACAACAUCUCAAAAGAGUGUACAUGUUUUCAUUUGAACCUCUCCGUAGAUUGGUUGGUCUUCCAGGAGCUGGAAUAGCCAUGAACUGCCAGGCUUUGCUGGAAGGAUUCUUUCUUCCCCCUGAUAUGCACAUCACUGUGUGUAGAACAGCUGUGGCAUUCCACAGAGUGUUUUAUAUUUGCAUUCAUUUUUUAGCAUUGAUACAAGAAUUCUUUCCUCUCUAAAUUACUAACAACUGAUACCUGUACUUCCACAUCCCCAAAAGGAAACUUCUUUAUUUAAAGGGGUGCUCGCCACUGAAGCAGUGUGGUCAAAUGCAAAGAGAAUUUUGGUACAAGUUAAUUUUACCUCCAGAUUGCCUAUGAGCAGCCAUGAUGAGAUAAAAUUAGAAAAUCCAUGGAAAGUGGAAGUGUUUUCCCCUGGGCUACAGGGUGCAGAGGUGCAGCCCUCUCCUCACCCCAUGUGCCUCACCAGUGGCUGGGGGCAUCAUCCUCACGAGGAGUUCCUCGAGGGAAGGGUGGGUGGGUAGUGGCCAGCUGAAAGCUCCUGUCCCACCUGUCUUACAGCCUUCCACCUCCUGAUCCAACAGGCUCAGCACAGAUGGCCUGGGGGGGUCUAGGCACAUACAUGUGUUCCACCAAAGCACAGACUGUCCAGGAGCAAGUUAAAACACUGGAAGCCUCGAGGAUGCUCCAGUAGAAAAGCAGCCCCAAACCUCCCCACCGCCAACUCUUUAAAACAGAAAGGCACCCUGCUAGACUAAGUCCUUCCCCUGUAAGACUCCACUUGAUUUAUUAAAAAUAAACUAAGAACAACAACAUUGUGAAAGGCAGAUGGAGAAAGCUCAUGGCUACAGGCUUCUCAGCAAGGCUUUGCUAAACCCUAUACUCAGGGGCACAGACAGGUGCAUCACUCCAACCCAUCUGCUACACUCAGCUGCAGUGUUCUGAUUCCCAUUCAAUUUUCUCCCAUCCCAGGUAAGUAUUAACUUUUCUCCUCUAUCAACUGGGGGCCACUUCUCCCUGAAGGCAGGGGAGCUUGCCAGGAGCUGCAAAUCAAGCCCACUCUUCAUGCUCACCUUCACUGUUCAUUUCUCCUCAAACCUGGUGUUUUCACCAUUUCUUUUCUACAAAGAUGCCCUUCUGGCUGCUUUCAGUCGUGAUUUUGCAAGUCUUUAUUUUGCAGUUCUUACAAAUGCUUUAAGCAAGACCACUGAAGCACUUUGUAACAUCCUUCUGGAGCAUUUAUAAACAAGGUUGUGGUUCGUGUCAGGAUCACUUAGAGACCAACGUUUACCUCUAGGGACAUGGAAAUAUUUCUGAAGAGCUGCUCCUUGCAGGGGUUCAGUGGUGUGGCCUGCCUCAGUCCUCACCUCAGUCGCCUCGAAGGGUCACUGCAAGCAGGAAUGAUGGCCCUGGAGCAGCUGGCACCAGGGAACAUACCACUUACAGCACCAGAGACUGAAUUAAGUCAGUGAAAAAGCGCAACUUCUUCUAGUAUGGGCAUUCCUAUAAAUUCAUCAUACUUUCGUGUCUAUGCCAAAGAUGCAGUAAGUUACCCCUGGAGCACCUUUGGAACUCCUUAAUAUCCUACCUCCCAUGGGAGAAAGAUUCUGCUCUGCAGCAAUCACUUCCAGUAGAUUAUAAGGCAGAUUCCAUGGCUUCUCAGUGGUGCCAAGUUUCCAGCUUCUCUCCUGCUUUGGAGGGAAGAGGAAAUGAGCUCCUACAAGCCUCCUCUGAGGAAUGGUUCCUCAUUUCAAACACCUGUAAGUGGAGCCAGCAGGGCAGGAGGGGGACGAAGUGCAAAGCACCUAAGGCUGCAGCCCCAGUGAGCCCAUGGAGGGCACUCUGUUCUGGCAUCGGCUGGUUUCACAGAGAUCUUGAGUUUAAGCACAGAUCUAAUUGAAUUGCAGAUGUCUUUUCUGAUGGCUAUCUGCUAGCAAAGCUUCAAUUAAAGCAGGAGCAGAGGCAGAACAGGAGGUUCUCAGUAAUAAAGCCAAUGGAAGGAAGAGUGGGCGUUUACAGCAGUGUCCACAGAAAGCAUAAUACAGCUACUUUCUUAUGAUGACUUGAACCGCAGCCAGCGUGUAUUACCACAUACACAUCACUGAAAAACCACCCCCACCCAACCCAGCUGAAGAAUCAAAAUUAAGCUUCAAGAUGGCCUGAGAAUCUGGUUUAGCUGAGGAGUAAGGUUUUCGAGAACUGUUUUCCCUUUCCUCAGCCGAUUGUUACGCCGUACCCAAAUUCCUGUUGUGCAACAAUUUGGAGGCCUCUUGGCCGCGUCCUACCCAAAUUCUCCUGCUUCUUGGCGCAGCACAACUCUCCUGGGGGCAUCUCAAUGGACAAUCACCCCCUGGGAUUCAGUUUCAAGGGAAAAAAAAAUCAGAGUUUUGCUCAUUUUCUCUUUUGAACUGCUGCCCUUUUCCGAUGUAUUUACAAUGUAAGGAAGUCGGUUUAUUAAUGGUUUGGCUUUUAACUUCGUUGUUGAGCUUGGCUUUGCUCCUGUUGGAAAUUGGACCCCAGUUGAGGAGGGCAGUUGCCAGUGUCUGCUGGAAACUCUUUGCCUGGGAUUUUCAAGCAGGCCGUUUGUUGACCUAGCUCAGCAUAUACUAAAUAAAUGCA
This is a long non-coding RNA of Cinclus cinclus, 10093 nucleotides long. RefSeq lists it as uncharacterized. The record is from RefSeq and is a predicted model, not a curated record. The transcript is spliced from 2 exons. Lineage: Eukaryota; Metazoa; Chordata; Aves; Passeriformes; Cinclidae.